RNAcentral lists this long non-coding RNA (303 nucleotides) under Nicotiana benthamiana. RNAcentral describes it as "long non-coding RNA (NBEN_LNC009951)". Lineage: Eukaryota; Viridiplantae; Streptophyta; Magnoliopsida; Solanales; Solanaceae. The record is from RNAcentral.
UGGAUUAUAACAGCUUGGUUUUUACAAUCACAAACUCACAGGUAAUUUCCCAUUUAUUGGUUUUCCGGUGAGCUUUCCGACAGUAAAAUUAUAUUACUUUUUUAAUUUUGAUGUAUUUUCAGUGUUUUUUUUCCCGUUGAACGUCAUCAAUUUGGGGUCUAGGGUUCCUCGUUUCUUCUCCCUCUCUUUUACUAAAUUCAAUGCAACCAAACUCAAUAAUACUUCAAAUCUCCUCUUUCACUACUCGUUAAUCACUGGUCGGCUAAAGAUCGGUGACCACAUUUUCAACCCAAAAUCAUUUUG